RNAcentral lists this ribosomal RNA (516 nucleotides) under Alternaria alternata. Its description in RNAcentral is "eukaryotic LSU rRNA". The stretch from base 143 to 296 matches the Rfam family "5.8S ribosomal RNA". Lineage: Eukaryota; Fungi; Ascomycota; Dothideomycetes; Pleosporales; Pleosporaceae. The record is from RNAcentral.
AUCUCUCGGGGUUACAGCCUUGCUGAAUUAUUCACCCUUGUCUUUUGCGUACUUCUUGUUUCCUUGGUGGGUUCGCCCACCACUAGGACAAACAUAAACCUUUUGUAAUUGCAAUCAGCGUCAGUAACAAAUUAAUAAUUACAACUUUCAACAACGGAUCUCUUGGUUCUGGCAUCGAUGAAGAACGCAGCGAAAUGCGAUAAGUAGUGUGAAUUGCAGAAUUCAGUGAAUCAUCGAAUCUUUGAACGCACAUUGCGCCCUUUGGUAUUCCAAAGGGCAUGCCUGUUCGAGCGUCAUUUGUACCCUCAAGCUUUGCUUGGUGUUGGGCGUCUUGUCUCUAGCUUUGCUGGAGACUCGCCUUAAAGUAAUUGGCAGCCGGCCUACUGGUUUCGGAGCGCAGCACAAGUCGCACUCUCUAUCAGCAAAGGUCUAGCAUCCAUUAAGCCUUUUUUCAACUUUUGACCUCGGAUCAGGUAGGGAUACCCGCUGAACUUAAGCAUAUCAAUAAGCGGAGGA